Molecule: long non-coding RNA, 840 nt
Filed under: Panax ginseng (ginseng)
Lineage: Eukaryota; Viridiplantae; Streptophyta; Magnoliopsida; Apiales; Araliaceae
Description: long non-coding RNA (PGIN_LNC018956)
Source: RNAcentral
GUCAUUCUAAUGAGAUCUAAAUUCUUAGAAAGCUUAAAACUAAAAUAGUUCUCAAUCGUUGGAUUACUAAAUUGAGGAUUAGUGAAUCCAAAUAGAUUGGUACAUACGUUGCUUGCUCAUUUGUGUGGAGACACUAAAGCAAGUAUGUAGGUGCUUAUUAGAGAGAAAGUUCACUUAACGUGACUCGCUAAGGAAUACCUAAUGGAGUUUUACUUGUCUGUCAAUAGGAAUUUCUGUAGUGAUAGUAGUACAAGUGAUCCUUAGACAUGAGAUCAUCAUAGUAUCUUGUGUAUGGUGAGUUAUACUUUGACUUGUUCCUUAAGACCCUUAGGGUAUUGUUGUGGCAGCCCCGAAUCCGGGUCCCGAAUCGCCGCGGAUCCGGUUCGCUAUUUCUACAACUAUUUGCGGAAGAUAUAAACAUAAAUUGUUUAUACAUUACAUUACACACUAUUCCCCAAGGUCGAGUAACCUUUACUUAAACACAAAUCAUAAGCUAUCUAACACAUAACAAUACUAUUCUUCAACCAUACUUUUACAAAUUAGCUGUACAUUCUAUCCCAAGCUGAACUUGGCAUUUUCCUUUUCCUGUAACUGGCCGUAUUCGCCUUAUCUGCAAUGUUUUAUCAUGAUAUAGCAAGGGUGAGCAUGAAAGUUGCCCAGCAAGUUUAAAAACAAUGCAAAGAUAUAUCAUGAUGGAAAGAGUUUGAAUAAUAAGCUGACUAUCCUUCACAAUGUAUUUGUGAAUUAGCAUGAACAAAGUUUUGACUGAACAAGUAUUUAACAGGAAUAACAAUAUAUCUGGACCAACUGGUAAUGAAGGUGAUCAGCCUUUCAUANNNN